UUUUCCACAUACUGCACAUUAUUGUUUCUCCUCUAUGCCCAGCCUAUCUGAAACACGUAAAUUCUUACAAAGCUCAUUGGUCU
Molecule: long non-coding RNA, 83 nt
Organism: Sinocyclocheilus grahami
Lineage: Eukaryota; Metazoa; Chordata; Actinopteri; Cypriniformes; Cyprinidae
Exons: 3
Source: RefSeq, a predicted model, not a curated record